ACGCGGGAGUGCCAGUGUCCUCCUGGCACCUAUGGGGAUAAUUGUGCCAAACCUUGUGGUCUUGGAAGGUUUGGCCCUGGAUGCAAGCAGGUGUGUGAGUGCCACAACGGGGGCAGCUGUCACCCUGAGACGGGGCACUGUACCUGCACCCCCACUUGGCUCGGUCCAACGUGUCAGGAGAGGGACGUUUCAUUCAUUACCACAAGUGAUCAACGUGGCCGAGCAGACAUCCCCGUGGAACUAAGCUGAGUUUAGAAAGAAAGAAAGAAAGAAAGAAAGAAA
Molecule: long non-coding RNA, 282 nt
Filed under: Penaeus japonicus
Lineage: Eukaryota; Metazoa; Arthropoda; Malacostraca; Decapoda; Penaeidae
Description: uncharacterized LOC122256940
Source: RNAcentral